ACUCCUACGGGAGGCAGCAGUGGGGAAUAUUGGACAAUGGGCGAAAGCCUGAUCCAGCAAUGCCGCGUGAGUGAUGAAGGCCUUAGGGUUGUAAAGCUCUUUUACCAGGGAUGAUAAUGACAGUACCCACAGAAGAAGCACCGGCUAACUCCGUGCCAGCAGCCGCGGUAAUACGGAGGGUGCGAGCGUUAAUCGGAAUUACUGGGCGUAAAGAGUGCGUAGGUGGUUAGAUAAGUUAUGUGUGAAAUCCCUGGGCUUAACCUGGGCAGGUCAUACAAUACUGUUUGACUCGAGUAUGGGAGAGGGUAGUGGAAUUUCCGGUGUAGCGGUGAAAUGCGUAGAGAUCGGAAGGAACACCAGUGGCGAAGGCGGCUACCUGGCCUAAUACUGACACUGAGGCACGAAAGCGUGGGGAGCAAACAGGAUUAGAUACCCUGGUAG
RNAcentral lists this ribosomal RNA (441 nucleotides) under uncultured bacterium. RNAcentral's name for it is "bacterial SSU rRNA". It matches the Rfam family "Bacterial small subunit ribosomal RNA", at positions 335 to 793 of the family's 1533-position model. The record is from RNAcentral.